ACCCGAAAUGGUAAACCCUGGGAAACCAGGGGGCGCAAAACCAAUGGGCCCUGAGCGAAGUCCUGAGUGAAGUCAAAGGAUGAGUUGGAUGGGCAGCCGGUUGCCGAUA
RNAcentral lists this non-coding RNA (109 nucleotides) under Elusimicrobiota bacterium. RNAcentral describes it as "Elusimicrobia bacterium c-di-GMP sequence". It matches the Rfam family "c-di-GMP-I riboswitch aptamer". From Rfam's summary of the family: GEMM was predicted in a large-scale screen for bacterial structured RNA regulatory elements. Genes associated with GEMM are involved in a diverse array of functions, including chemotaxis regulation, signal transduction, secretion and chitin. Lineage: Bacteria; Pseudomonadati; Elusimicrobiota. The record is from RNAcentral.